GACGAACGCUGGCGGCGUGCUUAACACAUGCCAGUCGAACGGAAAGGCCCUGCUUUUGUGGGGUGCUCGAGUGGCGAACGGGUGAGUAACACGUGAGUAACCUGCCCUUGACUUUGGGAUAACUUCAGGAAACUGGGGCUAAUACCGGAUAGGAGCUCCUGCUGCAUGGUGGGGGUUGGAAAGUUUCGGCGGGUGGGGAUGGACUCGCGGCUUAUCAGCUUGUUGGUGGGGUAGUGGCUUACCAAGGCUUUGACGGGUAGCCGGCCUGAGAGGGUGACCGGCCACAUUGGGACUGAGAUACGGCCCAGACUCCUACGGGAGGCAGCAGUGGGGAAUAUUGCACAAUGGGCGGAAGCCUGAUGCAGCAACGCCGCGUGCGGGAUGACGGCCUUCGGGUUGUAAACCGCUUUCGCCUGUACCGAAGCGUGAGUGACGGUAAUGGGUAAAGAAGCACCGGCUAACUACGUG
RNAcentral lists this ribosomal RNA (468 nucleotides) under uncultured bacterium. Its description in RNAcentral is "partial 16S ribosomal RNA". It matches the Rfam family "Bacterial small subunit ribosomal RNA", at positions 28 to 507 of the family's 1533-position model. The record is from RNAcentral.